Molecule: ribosomal RNA, 253 nt
Filed under: uncultured bacterium
Lineage: Bacteria
Description: partial 16S ribosomal RNA
Rfam family: Bacterial small subunit ribosomal RNA
Source: RNAcentral
UACGGGGGGGGCAAGCGUUGUUCGGAAUUACUGGGCGUAAAGGGCUCGUAGGCGGCCAACUAAGUCAGACGUGAAAUCCCUCGGCUUAACCGGGGAACUGCGUCUGAUACUGGAUGGCUUGAAUCCGGGAGAGGGAUGCGGAAUUCCAGGUGUAGCGGUGAAAUGCGUAGAUAUCGGAAGGAACAUCAGUGGCGAAAGCGGCUUCCUGGACCAGUACCGACGUUCAGGCACGAAAGCGUGGGGAGCAAACAGG